RNAcentral lists this ribosomal RNA (253 nucleotides) under uncultured bacterium. Its description in RNAcentral is "partial 16S ribosomal RNA". It matches the Rfam family "Bacterial small subunit ribosomal RNA", at positions 524 to 776 of the family's 1533-position model. The record is from RNAcentral.
UACGUAGGGUGCGAGCGUUAAUCGGAAUUACUGGGCGUAAAGGGUGCGCAGGCGGUUUUGUAAGCCAGAUGUGAAAUCCCCGGGCUCAACCUGGGAAUGGCAUUUGGGACUGCAAGGCUAGAGUGUGGCAGAGGAGACUGGAAUUCCUGGUGUGGCAGUGAAAUGCGUAGAUAUCAGGAGGAAUACCGAUGGCGAAGGCAGGUCUCUGGGCUGACACUGACGCUCACGCACGAAAGCGUGGGGAGCAAACAGG